RNAcentral lists this non-coding RNA (160 nucleotides) under Ipomoea nil (Japanese morning glory). RNAcentral describes it as "Eukaryotic small subunit ribosomal RNA". It matches the Rfam family "Eukaryotic small subunit ribosomal RNA", at positions 1189 to 1479 of the family's 1831-position model. Lineage: Eukaryota; Viridiplantae; Streptophyta; Magnoliopsida; Solanales; Convolvulaceae. The record is from Rfam by way of RNAcentral.
CUUAAUUUGACUCAACACGGGGAAACUUACCAGGUCCAGACAUAGUAAGGAUUGACAGACUGAGAGCUCUUUCGAAAUUUUUUUUUUUUCGAGGUGAAUGUGAAUCUUUAUUCCAAGUAAACAAAAUAAUACAUGAUACACUAGGGCAUACCCUAGGAUG